GAGAAUUUUAACAUUUAUUUAUUUUUUCUUAGUUCUUGGUGGACACAACAUCUUCGUUUGUAUGUGGUGCUGAGGAUCGAACCCGGGCUGCACGCCACGCUAGGCGAGCAUGCUACCGCUUGAGCCACAUCCCCAGCCCCUGCAAACAUUUUAAAUAAGCCAUUUUUGAAGACCCGGAGAGGGAUGUCUUUAUAUUUUACAUAUAUGGAAUGCUUCAGCCAUCAAGAGACUUUGACUGUGAGUGAAGUGCAUGAAAAUACGAAGAAACCACCCUGUGGAGACAGAGCUUCCCUAGGCAGACUGAUAGAAGUAUAUGGAACUUGGACGUGCAACAUGGGCUGGAGAUAAAUACUUGAGCAUCACUCACCGUCCAAGUCCAAGGUAUAAGAAGAUGUUGGCCCUGGAGGCAACAAGUGGGGAGUGGAGGCACUGGCUGGACAUGGCCUCUUAUAAAGAGCACUGCAGCAGACAGAGUGGAGAGGGCUGCAGGACGCCCGUCACCAGGGAGACGUCACAUCUGCCUCCUAGGUAGGAUGCCUUCCCAAGGAAACCUGCUGCGAGGGUGA
This 566-nucleotide long non-coding RNA is filed under the name Ictidomys tridecemlineatus (thirteen-lined ground squirrel). RNAcentral's name for it is "lncRNA (ENSSTOG00000034180.1)". Lineage: Eukaryota; Metazoa; Chordata; Mammalia; Rodentia; Sciuridae. The record is from RNAcentral.